This 475-nucleotide long non-coding RNA is filed under the name Homo sapiens (human). Its description in RNAcentral is "HSALNT0353165". The record is from RNAcentral. Lineage: Eukaryota; Metazoa; Chordata; Mammalia; Primates; Hominidae.
CAGGGUAACUGUGGAAGCUGACAGACAUAAGCCGAAGAAGAAAAUGAUUGGCAUCACUGUAGGUCCUCAGCAAAUCAAAAUGGGUGCCUGGUAAGGUUCAUGGUUAAGAGAUGUGGUGCAGCUGUUCUUUUAUCUCCUACUCAGAGUGGAAAUAGCCUUACCAGAGCAAGGCACAGUGAACAAUAGAAGUAAUAUUUUUAAAAAAUGUGCCUCUGCAAAGGAUUGAUCAGUGGCUUAACAAAGAUUGACAUCAGCGUGACAUUCUCUGCAACAAUGCACAAGGCUGCACAGAAAAAUCUUCCCUAUUUACAAGCACAGUCAACCUUUCAUCUCUGAUUUCCCCUGAAGACCGCAGUGACCCUCUUAAAAUAUACUGCAGGGAGUAUGCAACAAACUUCUUCGAAAGAGAGGCAAUCUAGAAAUAAUUGAGACAAGGGCAGAAGCCAAAGGACAAUGAAAAAAUUUCAGAAACAGG